UUCGCAAUGCCCGAAAGGGUGACGAAGCGACGCCGCGUGCGGGAAGAAGGUCUUCGGGUUGUAAACCGCUGUCGGGAGUUAAGAAAUGUAAGGAUGUUAAUAGCAUCUUUGCUUGACUAAGGCUCCGGAGGAAGCCACGGCUAACUCUGUGCCAGCAGCCGCGGUAAUACAGAGGCGGCAAGCGUUGUUCGGAAUUAUUGGGCGUAAAGAGCACGUAGGCGGCUAUGUAAGUCGGUUGUGAAAGCCUUCCGCUCAACGGGAGAACAGCAUCCGAUACUGCAUGGCUUGAGUGCGGGAGGGGAGAGUGGAACUUCUGGUGGAGCGGUGAAAUGCGUAGAUAUCAGAAGGAACGCCGGCGGCGAAAGCGGCUCUCUGGCCCAUAACUGACGCUGAGUGUGCGAAAGCUAGGGGAGCAAACGGGAUUAGAUACCCCGGUAGUCCUAGCCGUAAACGAUGGGCACUAAGUAGAGGGGUUUU
Molecule: ribosomal RNA, 477 nt
Filed under: uncultured bacterium
Lineage: Bacteria
Description: bacterial SSU rRNA
Rfam family: Bacterial small subunit ribosomal RNA
Source: RNAcentral